This 406-nucleotide ribosomal RNA is filed under the name uncultured bacterium. RNAcentral describes it as "partial 16S ribosomal RNA". It matches the Rfam family "Bacterial small subunit ribosomal RNA", at positions 30 to 526 of the family's 1533-position model. The record is from RNAcentral.
AUUGAACGCUGGCGGCAGGCCUAACACAUGCAAGUAGAGAGAGCGGCGGACGGGUGAGUAAUGUAUGGGGAACUGCCUGAUGGAGGGGGAUAACUACUGGAAACGGUAGCUAAUACCGCAUACCAUCAGAUGUACCCAGAUGGGAUUAGCUGGUAGGUGGGGUAACGGCUCACCUAGGCGACGAUCCCUAGCUGGUCUGAGAGGAUGACCAGCCACACUGGAACUGAGACACGGUCCAGACUCCUACGGGAGGCAGCAGUGGGGAAUAUUGCACAAUGGGCGCAAGCCUGAUGCAGCCAUGCCGCGUGUAUGAAGAAGGCCCUCGGGUUGUAAAGGACUUGCAGUGGGGAGGCGUUACCCGCAGAAGAAGCACCGGCUAACUCCGUGCCAGCAGCCGCGGUAAUAC